RNAcentral lists this ribosomal RNA (671 nucleotides) under Salmonella enterica subsp. enterica serovar Newport. RNAcentral describes it as "partial 23S ribosomal RNA". It matches the Rfam family "Bacterial large subunit ribosomal RNA", at positions 2132 to 2802 of the family's 2925-position model. The record is from RNAcentral. Lineage: Bacteria; Pseudomonadati; Pseudomonadota; Gammaproteobacteria; Enterobacterales; Enterobacteriaceae.
UGAUGUGUAGGAUAGGUGGGAGGCUUUGAAGUGUGGACGCCAGUCUGCAUGGAGCCGGCCUUGAAAUACCACCCUUUAAUGUUUGAUGUUCUAACGUGGACCCGUAAUCCGGGUUGCGGACAGUGUCUGGUGGGUAGUUUGACUGGGGCGGUCUCCUCCUAAAGAGUAACGGAGGAGCACGAAGGUUGGCUAAUCCUGGUCGGACAUCAGGAGGUUAGUGCAAUGGCAUAAGCCAGCUUGACUGCGAGCGUGACGGCGCGAGCAGGUGCGAAAGCAGGUCAUAGUGAUCCGGUGGUUCUGAAUGGAAGGGCCAUCGCUCAACGGAUAAAAGGUACUCCGGGGAUAACAGGCUGAUACCGCCCAAGAGUUCAUAUCGACGGCGGUGUUUGGCACCUCGAUGUCGGCUCAUCACAUCCUGGGGCUGAAGUAGGUCCCAAGGGUAUGGCUGUUCGCCAUUUAAAGUGGUACGCGAGCUGGGUUUAGAACGUCGUGAGACAGUUCGGUCCCUAUCUGCCGUGGGCGCUGGAGAACUGAGGGGGGCUGCUCCUAGUACGAGAGGACCGGAGUGGACGCAUCACUGGUGUUCGGGUUGUCAUGCCAAUGGCACUGCCCGGUAGCUAAAUGCGGAAGAGAUAAGUGCUGAAAGCAUCUAAGCACGAAACUUGCCCCGA